AAGCUCGUGAGUCAAGUGUCGCACUGUGUCGUUGCCAUGGCUACGGCGUCACUAGGCAGUAGGAAUUUUUCUGCUCCGUUGUCCUACGUGGUCUGUGGUUGAGUGACACGCCAUUGUGCAGCACACGACCAUAGUGCUAAAUCCAGCUUUAGGCCGAGCUUGCAAAAACACCUAAGGAAUCUUCUGUAUCCUCUUCUGUUAUAUUUUUGUGUGUCAAGUUUGGUAACAUUUUUCUAGAUUUUUCCAUAUUACCUGUUUUUAGAUUUGUUGCUGUAGAGAAUAGAAUGCUUGUACUUGAAAAUCCUUGCUAUAUUCAUAAUUAUGUCCCCUUCUCAAGACUAAUAGUGUUUAUUUGUGCUUUCUUUUAUUUCUCUUGCUCCUAUUUAUUGAAUAUCUACUUAAUUUAUUAAGGUAUAUCAUCUUAAUGUUAUUUUAUU
Long non-coding RNA from Phyllostomus discolor (pale spear-nosed bat), 437 nucleotides. RefSeq lists it as uncharacterized. The transcript is spliced from 4 exons. The record is from RefSeq and is a predicted model, not a curated record. Lineage: Eukaryota; Metazoa; Chordata; Mammalia; Chiroptera; Phyllostomidae.